UCUCUGUCUUCGGUGCCUCUC
Molecule: unclassified non-coding RNA, 21 nt
Filed under: Mus musculus (house mouse)
Lineage: Eukaryota; Metazoa; Chordata; Mammalia; Rodentia; Muridae
Description: oocyte_clustered_small_RNA8488
Source: RNAcentral